RNAcentral lists this long non-coding RNA (795 nucleotides) under Homo sapiens (human). RNAcentral's name for it is "uncharacterized LOC105372041, transcript variant 1 (LOC105372041)". Lineage: Eukaryota; Metazoa; Chordata; Mammalia; Primates; Hominidae. The record is from RNAcentral.
CUCUUCACCCCUAGACUACCACGGCAGAUUGGAACCCAGGAAUCCGCAGAGAAAACAUAAGAUUUCUAUCUAGAAAAAGGGAGCAAAAGAGAAAGGAAGGGAGUGGAUAGGGCAGGACUGUGUACUUCAGGGGCCUGCAGUCUCUGCACCAGGACACCAGGAGACCUGACUCAGAGAAGAGACUAGAAACCAACAGAAAGAAACUAAACAGCUGUCUGAUACAUAUACAGAUACACACUUGUACAUGUGUAUCCCAAUUUAAAGCUAUACAGAAAAUUAACUGAGGAACGGACUAUGGGGUCGUUGAUCUUCCUUCUCAUCAAACUUGCAUCCCACCAACUUCGGGCCUGCUGCAGCUAAUUAUUCUUGAUACAUUUGUUCACAUUACAGGUGUCAACAAUUUUGGCAUUGCAGAAGACCAUGGAGACAACUUUUUUAUUUCUCCAUCACACAAGGACUGAAGAUACAAAAAUGAGUUUUUCUUUCCUAUGGCCUUGGACUAGCUAUAUACGAUAGUAAUUAGCAAGCAGGCUCUGAAUUACACGAGCCCCUCCCACUGACUCUUGUACUUUUUAGCUAUAAGAACCUAAGCACGAACUUCGCAGAGCUCCAGUGCUUCUGUUUUGAAAAGAGAUAAUAUUUCCUAUGGGAUAGGGUUGUCUGGGGGUACUAAAUGAGAACUACAUACAAAGUACUUAAUGGAAGGUAUGUAGGACUCAAUAGAGGUAGCUAUUAAAUUGUAUGUAAGUAACAAAUCCUGAUAAUGUUCAAUUCUGAAUAAAACUUAGCAAGGUA